CGCUGGCGGCAGGCCUAACACAUGCAAGUCGAGCGGCAGCRRCUUAACUGAACCUUCGGGGAACGUUAAGGGCGGCGAGCGGCGGACGGGUGAGUAAUGCCUGGGAAUAUGCCCUGAUGUGGGGGAUAACUAUUGGAAACGAUAGCUAAUACCGCAUAAUCUCUUCGGAGCAAAGAGGGGGACCUUCGGGCCUCUCGCGUCAGGAUUAGCCCAGGUGGGAUUAGCUUGUUGGUGAGGUAAUGGCUCACCAAGGCAACGAUCCCUAGCUGGUCUGAGAGGAUGAUCAGCCACACUGGAACUGAGACACGGUCCAGACKCCUACGGGAGGCAGCAGUGGGGAAUAUUGCACAAUGGGGGAAACCCUGAUGCAGCCAUGCCGCGUGUGUGAAGAAGGCCUUCGGGUUGUAAAGCACUUUCAAGUAGGGAGGAAGGUAGUGUAGUUAACACCUGCACUAUUUGACGUUACCUACAGAAGAAGCACCGAGCUAACUCCGUGCCAGCAGCCGCG
Molecule: ribosomal RNA, 508 nt
Filed under: Photobacterium damselae subsp. damselae
Lineage: Bacteria; Pseudomonadati; Pseudomonadota; Gammaproteobacteria; Vibrionales; Vibrionaceae
Description: bacterial SSU rRNA
Rfam family: Bacterial small subunit ribosomal RNA
Source: RNAcentral